UCCUACGGGAGGCAGCAGUGGGGAAUAUUGCACAAUGGGCGCAAGCCUGAUGCAGCGACGCCGCGUGAGGGAUGACGGCCUUCGGGUUGUAAACCUCUUUCAGUAGGGAAGAAGCGAAAGUGACGGUACCUGCAGAAGAAGCGCCGGCUAACUACGUGCCAGCAGCCGCGGUAAUACGUAGGGCGCAAGCGUUAUCCGGAAUUAUUGGGCGUAAAGAGCUCGUAGGCGGUUUGUCGCGUCUGCCGUGAAAGUCCGGGGCUCAACUCCGGAUCUGCGGUGGGUACGGGCAGACUAGAGUGAUGUAGGGGAGACUGGAAUUCCUGGUGUAGCGGUGAAAUGCGCAGAUAUCAGGAGGAACACCGAUGGCGAAGGCAGGUCUCUGGGCAUUAACUGACGCUGAGGAGCGAAAGCAUGGGGAGCGAACAGGAUUAGAUACCCUGGUAGUCCAUGCCGUAAACGUUGGGCACUAGGUGUGGGGGACAUUCCACGUUUUCCGCGCCGUAGCUAACGCAUUAAGUGCCCCGCCUGGGGAGUACGGCCGCAAGGCUAAAACUCAAAGGAAUUGACGGCGGGCGGGGGCGG
Molecule: ribosomal RNA, 582 nt
Filed under: bacterium KU4
Lineage: Bacteria
Description: bacterial SSU rRNA
Rfam family: Bacterial small subunit ribosomal RNA
Source: RNAcentral